RNAcentral lists this long non-coding RNA (536 nucleotides) under Pan troglodytes (chimpanzee). RNAcentral describes it as "long non-coding RNA NONPTRT007524". Lineage: Eukaryota; Metazoa; Chordata; Mammalia; Primates; Hominidae. The record is from RNAcentral.
AAGUUGUCUACAACCCACAAAAUCAUACUUCGUCAUUUGCUACUUCCUACCACAUGUGAUUCCUGGAGCAAUAGUACAAAUGGAUACCUACAUAACAUAUGUUAAAUAUUUACUUUUUUAAAAAACCAAGAUAAUAAACUAUCAAAUUAUAUCUGUGCUAGGAGCAUGGCAGUCUGAAAAUCAGACUGAGAGUCUGAACAUCAAACUCAAUCUCUGUCUGUUGUAAACAGUUACCCUAUGGUCAUCCCUUCCCCAAGGGUGAGUACAGUGGCCAUUUCCUCAGAAGCAAGACUUAGUGAAGAGAUCUGUACAGUUUGGAAAUGAGGCUGGGAUUGUUUUGACCAAAAAUCUCAAGGUCCCGGAUACCUGGAGCAUUGUCCAAAUGAGGGCUACAGGCUCCAACUGAGCACAUCUGUACAGCCUCAUGGACACCUACCACUUGCCAUGCCACAGGAGGGUUGCAAAGGGGCUCUCUAAAGUCAGGGUCCAGGACCAGGGCUCCUCUUGCCUGAGCCUAAUGUGCUAUGACUAAUCAA